Molecule: transfer RNA, 74 nt
Filed under: Mollicutes bacterium
Lineage: Bacteria; Bacillati; Mycoplasmatota; Mollicutes
Also listed under: 1 other name
Description: tRNA-Gly
Rfam family: tRNA
About the family: Transfer RNA (tRNA) molecules are approximately 80 nucleotides in length. Their secondary structure includes four short double-helical elements and three loops (D, anti-codon, and T loops).
Source: RNAcentral
GCAGAUGUGGUUCAAUGGUAGAAUGCCACCUUGCCAAGGUGGAGACGCGGGUUCGAUUCCCGUCAUUUGCUCCA